Molecule: long non-coding RNA, 759 nt
Organism: Homo sapiens (human)
Lineage: Eukaryota; Metazoa; Chordata; Mammalia; Primates; Hominidae
Gene: DRAIC
Product: downregulated RNA in cancer, inhibitor of cell invasion and migration
Source: Ensembl
AUUAGUGGUUGAAGGCAGCUGAUCUGUUUCGAAUCCUGUGUGUCCGGAGAGGCCAACGCUUUCAUUAGCCAGCAGGAAUGGGCUGGGGCGCGUUUGUAGUUGGGAAUCCUGAGCCCGGGCUGUUGCUUGGAGGACUCGGGAGCAGCAGUGGAUUUCGGCGUUACCAGGAGAGCUAUGUAUAGGAAUGCCGCUAUGGAAAGACAUCCAGGACACCUUGUUAAGUGAAAAAAGACAUGCCACCAUUAGGGCUUCAUUUCCCUGCAGUCUUCUUUAAAUACCAAAACUGCCCUGGGAAGGAUAAGACAUCAGUUUCUUCAUACUUCAGAGCAAAUGGGAUUGAUUCCCAGGACCUCCUUUCUGUGGACUGGGUUUUUGCCUCCUCACCAAGAGACUGGGCUCCCUGGGCGAGCAGAGGCUGCUGGGUUCAGUAUCUGAACACUUUUGCUAAAGGUCUCUGGAAAGCUCCCUGUGUUAAUUCUCGAUGAGACUACGUCUGUGCCGGCCGCUUCCUGAGCCUCCUUCCAUGUGCAUAGGCCUGCUGCAUGCUGGAGACCUGCGGCACAGCUGCCAAGUGCCCCGUGUGGUUCUGUGAUCUUGGGACAGUCACUUCCUCUCUGUGGUUGUCAGUCUUCUCAUCCCUAAGGUAAGGGGACGCUGUCUCCACGCUCAUCUCCUCAGCUAGACUGGGGCCUCAGGCCUGAGCCCAGGGCCUAAGAGCCCUAAAAAAUGUUUGCUGAAUAAAUGAAUGAAUAAGCCACA